UACGGGGGGUGCGAGCGUUAAUCGGAAUAACUGGGCGUAAAGGGCGCGCAGGAGGACUGUUAAGUGAGGUGUGAAAUCCCCGGGCUUAACCUGGGAAUGGCAUUUGAUACUGGGGGUCUAGAGUACUUUAGGGAGGGGUAGAAUUCCACGUGUAGCGGUGAAAUGCGUAGAGAUGUGGAGGAAUAUCGAAGGCGAAGGCAGCCACUUGG
Molecule: ribosomal RNA, 209 nt
Filed under: uncultured bacterium
Lineage: Bacteria
Description: partial 16S ribosomal RNA
Rfam family: Bacterial small subunit ribosomal RNA
Source: RNAcentral